This 398-nucleotide ribosomal RNA is filed under the name uncultured bacterium. RNAcentral describes it as "partial 16S ribosomal RNA". It matches the Rfam family "Bacterial small subunit ribosomal RNA", at positions 338 to 734 of the family's 1533-position model. The record is from RNAcentral.
CCUACGGGGGGCAGCAGUGAGGAAUAUUGGUCAAUGGACGCAAGUCUGAACCAGCCAAGCCGCGUGAGGGAUGACUGCCCUACGAGUUGUAAACCUCUUUUGUCCGGGGGCAAUAACAGAUACGUGUAUCUCAUUGAGAGUACCCUACGAAAAAGCAUCGGCUAACUCCGUGCCAGCAGCCGCGGUAAUACGGAGGAUGCGAGCGUUAUCCGGAUUUAUUGGGUUUAAAGGGUGCGUAGGCGGAUGUGAAAGCCAGUGGUAAAAUUCCGGGGCUCAACCCAGGAUUGCCGUUGAAACUGGAUGCCUUGAGUACGUGAGAAGGAGGCGGAAUGCGUGGUGUAGCGGUGAAAUGCAUAGAUAUCACGCAGAACUCCGAUUGCGAAGGCAGCAUACCAGGG